GGAGCUAUUGACAGUUGAUGGCAGUUGAAGGAGAGAAGGGUCACUGUCCUUUGGGAGGAUGUGACUGUUGGUAGGUGGCUAGUUCCCUGGUGGGUGGCAUCACACCCACGUGCGUGUGAGCAGCUCUAACUGGCUUGGGAUGAUGAAUGGCAACAAAGAGAAAUAAAGCGGAUAUGAAGCUGGGAAGGAGGGAGCAUUGGGGAGUUGGAGGAAAUGUGGAUGAAAUAGCAUCAAUAUCCAGGAAUGGGCUGACUUCCCCCUAAUGUGGGUUCAAGAUAUAGCCAGUAUCUGCAGCAGCCUUCAGAUGAAGAUGUAGAACUCUUAGCUCUGCCUGCACCAUGCCCGCCUCAAUGCUGCCCUGCUCCCACCUUGAUGAUGAUGGACUGAACCACUGAACCUGUAAGCCAGCCCCAAUUAAAUGUUGUUCAUUAUAAGACUUGCCUUGGCCAUGGUGUCUGUGCACAGCAGUAAAACCCUAACUAAGACACCAGGUCAGCCUCACUGCUCCUCUAGGGACUUGGUUCCCAGGCUUGCACUCUGACCCAGGAGAUUUGCUAUAUUAUCUGUUAAUCCCUAUGGGAAAAAAAUACCUUCAAGGACAGUAUUUUUUAUGUGUGUCCAGAAUAUCCAAGCUCACAAGAGAGGCUGUGGAGGAGCCUCACACUAAAUUGUUUACAAUGGGGUUGUGAAAGCAUAGGCUCCAUCAACUGGGAACCCUCCUUCAAAUCUGACUUCAUCAAGCUAGUUAGAAAUGGAACACACACACACACACACACACACACACACACACACACACACACGCUUUUCUCAGACUUCUAUUGCUCACAGCUCUCACCCAAAUCUACCUUGCAAUGCCCUGACACUCAGCUUCACAGGCAAAGGAAAACAGGCCACAGGACGGGAUAUGGGUUAUGUUUGGGGGUUGAGAUUACAUCAGAGAGUAGGGGGCUCAUAUGGAGGAAUUCUGUUCACUGUCAGACAGUUGUUAGACAGGUUCUAGGGAUAUCCAUUGGACCCAAUAAAGUCCUAGCAAGGCCUUUGCUCACAUCUAUUCCUCCCACCCCUCACCAAGAGGCAACUUCACUAACCUCCUGCUCCAACAAAACCCCACUUCUCAUCCUGGCUCGGAACCCUGCCAAUGCUCCAGCAGCCCAAGUAAGACUUCUCUCAGUCAAGGGCCUAGCAACUUUCCAACUUUUUAACCUUUUCCUGUCCUGACACUGGUUUCAGCCUAAUCUAAACCAUAUGGGAAACUGUUAUGUUCUGUUAUGUAAGUCUCUUUAUGAAGUAUGUUGUUGUGGUUUGCCCUGAAGUUAUCUGCAUUUUGAUGCUAAUUCCACUGCCCCGGGGACAGCUGCCUAGUCACUACUCAGGAAUCAGGUGACUUCACCAGAACCUUCUCCCCGUUGAAUUUGUAAAGUACAGGUGAGGGGCAGGUACAGGAUAGAAGGAGGCCUGUCAUUGGAGGAGAAGGAAGGAUGGGCGGGAGAGAAGUUUGAAGGAAGAGGAGGAGACUGGAAUAGAAAGGAAGAGAGAGGAGGAAGAGGGAGAGAAGCUGCGGCAGGACAAUGGAGGCUGACGUUAAGAUUCCACGCUGCACCUUUAAAGGAGCCCAUCAGUCCAAUCUGCUACGGAUGCACUGACUCUAUUGGGGCACUGCCUUCUCAGCCACAGCCACCUUCAAAGCUGAGCCACCCAGACCCUGCUGGCCACACUAACAGCUGUGCCUGGUAGAUCCGGAUCUGAGAAAUGGCGCCAAGGCCACGGCAGAAGCAGAACGGACUGUUGCCGCUGCUCCAGAGCCAUGGAAGUGAGGCCAUCCUGUGUGGGUAAGAAAGCCUCAAAGAAACCACAGAAAGUCAGCCCAGUAGCCCUGGCCCAAGUGAGUUUUGGGAGCUCCCAUGGUGCUUUGGGUCUCUGGGUUCUAAUCUGUCAAAUGUGUAAUGGGCCGGUUUUCAGGUCAAUCCGCACAUCUGUAUAAACAACCAAUUUAUUCUUCAUUUUUAUAAAACUGAGAAAAUAUACAUUCUUUUGAAAUAUUUCACAAAAAUAUACUUUCAUGUCAACCA
Molecule: long non-coding RNA, 2069 nt
Organism: Rattus norvegicus (Norway rat)
Lineage: Eukaryota; Metazoa; Chordata; Mammalia; Rodentia; Muridae
Source: RefSeq, a predicted model, not a curated record